UACAGGGGGAGCAAGCGUUGUUCGGAUUUACUGGGCGUAAAGGGCGCGUAGGCGGUCAGCACAAGUCAGUUGUGAAAUCUCCGGGCUUAACUCGGAAAGGUCAACUGAUACUGUGCGACUAGAGUGCAGAAGGGGCAACUGGAAUUCUCGGUGUAGCGGUGAAAUGCGUAGAUAUCGAGAGGAACACCUGCGGCGAAGGCGGGUUGCUGGGCUGACACUGACGCUGAGGCGCGAAAGCCAGGGGAGCGAACGGG
This 254-nucleotide ribosomal RNA is filed under the name uncultured bacterium. RNAcentral describes it as "partial 16S ribosomal RNA". It matches the Rfam family "Bacterial small subunit ribosomal RNA", at positions 524 to 776 of the family's 1533-position model. The record is from RNAcentral.